UCCUUAUCAAGAGCAGGGGAGGAACUUGGUCCCACGAUCCUGCGGCAACCUCACUUAUCCAUUAAGUAGAAAGGUGCCCAUUCCAACGAGCUGAUGCUUGAAAGAUAAGGG
Molecule: non-coding RNA, 111 nt
Filed under: Salinicoccus halodurans
Lineage: Bacteria; Bacillati; Bacillota; Bacilli; Caryophanales; Staphylococcaceae
Description: SAM-I sequence
Rfam family: SAM riboswitch aptamer (S box leader)
About the family: The SAM riboswitch is found upstream of a number of genes which code for proteins involved in methionine or cysteine biosynthesis in Gram-positive bacteria. The SAM riboswitch acts at the level of transcription termination control.
Source: RNAcentral